Molecule: ribosomal RNA, 253 nt
Filed under: uncultured bacterium
Lineage: Bacteria
Description: partial 16S ribosomal RNA
Rfam family: Bacterial small subunit ribosomal RNA
Source: RNAcentral
UACGUAGGGUGCAAGCGUUAAUCGGAAUUACUGGGCGUAAAGCGUGCGCAGGCGGUUUUGUAAGUCUGUCGUGAAAUCCCCGGGCUUAACCUGGGAAUUGCGAUGGAGACUGCAAGGCUGGAGUCUGGCAGAGGGGGGUAGAAUUCCACGUGUAGCAGUGAAAUGCGUAGAGAUGUGGAGGAACACCGAUGGCGAAGGCAGCCCCCUGGGUCAAGACUGACGCUCAUGCACGAAAGCGUGGGGAGCGAACAGG